UCGGGACUAUGUCGCGUGCGCGGAGCCACCUGCGCGCCGCUCUAUUCCUGGCAGCGGCGUCUGCGCGCGGCGUAACGACCCAGGUCGCGGCGCGGCGGGGCUUGAGCGCGUGGCCGGUGCCGCAGGAGCCCAGCAUGGAGUACCAGCUCUCCCCACCUGGUGCAGGUUCGGGAGCGGAUCCGCAUCAAUGGGCAGCCCAUCAGUCCUGAGCUCUUCACCAAGUACUUCUGGCACCUCUACCACCGGCUGGAAGAGACCAAGGAUGGCAGCUGUGUCUCCAUGCCCCCCUACUUCCGCUUCCUGACACUCAUGGCCUUCCACGUCUUCCUCCAAGAGAAGGUGGACCUGGCAGUGGUGGAGGUGGGCAUUGGCGGGGCUUAUGACUGCACCAACAUCAUCAGGAAGCCUGUGGUGUGUGGAGUCUCCUCUCUUGGCAUCGACCACACCAGCCUCCUGGGGGAUACGGUGGAGAAGAUCGCAUGGCAGAAAGGGGGCAUCUUUAAG
Molecule: small RNA, 504 nt
Filed under: Pongo abelii (Sumatran orangutan)
Lineage: Eukaryota; Metazoa; Chordata; Mammalia; Primates; Hominidae
Description: processed transcript
Source: RNAcentral